GAUGAACGCUGGCGGCGUGCCUAAUACAUGCAAGUCGAGCGAACGGACGAGAAGCUUGCUUUUCUGAUGUUAGCGGCGGACGGGUGAGUAACACGUGGAUAACCUACCUAUAAGACUGGGAUAACUUCGGGAAACCGGAGCUAAUACCGGAUAAUAUGUUGAACCGCAUGGUUCAAAAGUGAAAGACGGUCUUGCUGUCACUUAUAGAUGGAUCCGCGCUGCAUUAGCUAGUUGGUAAGGUAACGGCUUACCAAGGCAACGAUGCAUAGCCGACCUGAGAGGGUGAUCGGCCACACUGGAACUGAGACACGGUCCAGACUCCUACGGGAGGCAGCAGUAGGGAAUCUUCCGCAAUGGGCGAAAGCCUGACGGAGCAACGCCGCGUGAGUGAUGAAGGUCUUCGGAUCGUAAAACUCUGUUAUUAGGGAAGAACAUAUGUGUAAGUAACUGUGCACAUCUUGACGGUACCUAAUCAGAAAGCCACGGCUAACUACGUG
This 497-nucleotide ribosomal RNA is filed under the name uncultured bacterium. RNAcentral's name for it is "partial 16S ribosomal RNA". It matches the Rfam family "Bacterial small subunit ribosomal RNA", at positions 28 to 507 of the family's 1533-position model. The record is from RNAcentral.